CCUACGGGUGGCAGCAGUGGGGAAUAUUGGGCAAUGGGCGCAAGCCUGACGCAACAACGCCGCGUGAAGGAAGAAGGCUUUCGGGUUGUAAACUUCUUUUCUCAGCGACGAAGGAAGUGACGGUACCUGAGGAAUAAGCCACGGCUAACUACGGGCCAGCAGCCGCGGUAAUACGUAGGUGGCAAGCGUUAUCCGGAUUUACUGGGUGUAAAGGGCGGGUAGGCGGGACUGCAAGUCAGAUGUGAAAACCACGGGCUCAACCUGUGGCCUGCAUUUGAAACUGUAGUUCUUGAGUACUGGAGAGGCGGACGGAAUUCCACGUGUAGCGGUGAAAUGCGUAGAUAUUAGGAGGAACACCAGUGGCGAAGGCGGUCUGCUGGAAAGCAACUGACGCUGAGGCGCGAAAGCGUGGGGAGCAAACAGGAUUAGAUACCCGAGUAGUC
RNAcentral lists this ribosomal RNA (443 nucleotides) under uncultured bacterium. Its description in RNAcentral is "partial 16S ribosomal RNA". It matches the Rfam family "Bacterial small subunit ribosomal RNA", at positions 338 to 795 of the family's 1533-position model. The record is from RNAcentral.